This 377-nucleotide ribosomal RNA is filed under the name uncultured bacterium. RNAcentral's name for it is "bacterial SSU rRNA". It matches the Rfam family "Bacterial small subunit ribosomal RNA", at positions 523 to 898 of the family's 1533-position model. The record is from RNAcentral.
AUACGUAGGUGGCGAGCGUUGUCCGGAAUUACUGGGCGUAAAGGGCGUGUAGGCGGAUAUUUAAGUCAGGUGUGUAAUCUACGAGCUUAACUUGUAGCUUGCAUUUGAUACUGGAUAUCUUGAGUGCAGGAGAGGGCAGUGGAAUUCCUAGUGUAGCGGUGAAAUGCGUAGAUAUUAGGAGGAACACCAGUGGCGAAGGCGGCUGCCUGGACUGUAACUGACGCUGAGGCGCGAAAGCGUGGGGAGCAAACAGGAUUAGAUACCCUGGUAGUCCACGCCGUAAACGAUGGGUACUAGGUGUAGGGGGUAUCGACCCCUUCUGUGCCGGAGUUAACACAAUAAGUACCCCGCCUGGGGAGUACGGCCGCAAGGCUGAA